CCUCCAGUGACUGUUCCUCCUGUAAAGCCACCUGUUGAUCUCCCUCCAAUUGCAAAGCCACCCAUUACAGUUCCACCAGUGACUGUUCCUCCUGUGAAUCCACCUGUUGAUCUCCCUCCGGUGACUGUUCCUCCUGUGAAGCCACCAGUUGAGCUCCCUCCAAUUGCAAAGCCACCCAUUACAGUCCCACCAGUGACUGUUCCUCCUGUGAAGCCACCAGUUGACCUCCCCCCAAUUGCAAAACCGCCCAUCACAGUCCCUCCAGUGACCCUCCCAGUCCCUCCAGUUACUGUCCCUCCAGUGACUGUUCCUCCUGUAAAGCCACCAGUUGACCUCCCUCCAAUUGCAAAACCACCCAUCACAGUCCCACCAGUGACUGUUCCUCCUGUGAAGCCACCAGUUGACCUCCCUCCAAUUGCAAAACCACCCAUCACAGUCCCUCCGGUGACCGUCCCAGUCCCUCCAGUUACUGUUCCUCCCGUAAAGCCACCAGUUGACCUCCCUCCAAUUGCAAAACCACCCAUCACAGUCCCACCAGUGACCGUCCCAGUCCCACCAGUGACUGUUCCUCCUGUGAAACCACCUAU
This 587-nucleotide long non-coding RNA is filed under the name Gossypium barbadense (sea-island cotton). RNAcentral's name for it is "long non-coding RNA (GBAR_LNC018916)". Lineage: Eukaryota; Viridiplantae; Streptophyta; Magnoliopsida; Malvales; Malvaceae. The record is from RNAcentral.